This 161-nucleotide ribosomal RNA is filed under the name uncultured bacterium. RNAcentral's name for it is "partial 16S rRNA". It matches the Rfam family "Bacterial small subunit ribosomal RNA", at positions 355 to 507 of the family's 1533-position model. The record is from RNAcentral.
UAGGGAAUCUUCCGCAAUGGGCGAAAGCCUGACGGAGCGACGCCGCGUGAGCGAGGAAGGCCUUCGGGUCGUAAAGCUCUGUUGUCAGGGAAGAAGGCGCGCUGUUCGAACAGGGCGGCGCGGUGACGGUACCUGACGAGGAAGCCCCGGCUAACUACGUG